CCCCGGCCCAGCCCAGUCUCUCUGGAGGAAAAGCCGGUUCCCGAGGCGCAGCCGAGCUGUGUUUUGGGCUCCCCCGGCCCGUUCCCCGAUAUCCCGGCCGGGCUGUGCAGCCCCGUGUGGGGCGGGCACGGCGGCUCCUGUUCCAUGUGUCCGUGAUUUCGAGUUUCUGCACCACGGGCUGCUGCUGGAAAGGGCCUCUAAGGGAGUGGCUUUUUUUAAAGGAAGACAAUAGGUUUUUCUUAAAGGAAGGCAACAUGUCUCCUGCCGUUUUUUGUGUAAUCCAUGAUCUGUGCAUCCCACUGAGGAAGGAUAAGGAUAGCACUGAGGAAGUGGAAAAGAUGGAUGAAAUAAAGACAGAUGGAUCUUCUUGAACUGAAAAGUUCAUUGAACAACAAACACUUUUUCAGCAGAGACACAUUCAUUUCCUGGUUGAGAGGGAAGCAUACGUAGAAAGUAGGGGGCAGUUGGACUCUUCAUGACCAAUGACUGUUGUAUGACUGCAGCAUCUUAUGCUCAAGGACCAUGCCCGUAGAGCAAUGGAAUACAGAAAUUAUGUAAAAGAUGAUCCCUUGAGACCUACAAAGUCACCAUGACUGCAAAGCAAAAUUCAGAAGGAUACUCAAGAAGAGAACUUAAUGAAAAUGGCCAUUGUAAAUGUCAGAACAUUUCAGACAUGGAUUCCCAGUGACAUAUCCAGAGUUACAGCACAUCUUUCAGCUGAGUAAGAACCAAAGGCAACUUCUACUUAACUUCCUUAAACAAUGGUCAGUUCUGUUUUUUCCAAGGUAACAAAACUGCAGUUGCAAAAGGACUUAGCCUUGAGCAUUCCUGGACACACUGCGUUGCACCUGGAUCUAGAAGGUGUUUGCUGUUCCAAAAUGUAUUCUUUCCAGGCUUUAAAGUUCAAGAUAAUGUGAACAGUGAUAAAAGAUAAGAAUGUGUCUGUGAGUAACUGACAACUACUGACAUUACACCUGCAAGAUACAUGAACAUACAUACAUGAACACAGAGUUGAAAUAUAUGCCAUAUAUUCCCAUAUGUGAAAUAUUUCCCAGUCCUUUCUCACCCCUGUCCAGGUUCCAGACAUGGUUAGGCAAGAGUAUAAAGGAAAGAUGAGACAUUCAUAGAUUGCUGUGGGGAAAUUAAAUUCCAUUUUUCUAGCUAAACUAUCAAUGAUCUUUCUAGUUACAUGCACAACUCCAGGCCCAUUUUUAGAUUUAUUUUGUCUACUUUAUGCCAGCAAUUCUUCUCUGGAUUCCAGUGAUAAUGUCAGAGCAUCUCACGGGGUUAUUGGUAUCCUUGCCUCUGAGCAUGACUCUGAAUGAGCAGACUGCCAAGGUAUCUGAUAAGAAUGACCAAGCAAGAGGUGGUUUGAGUUCCAAGACGUCAGUGUUUGGAAGUUCCUAAAUUGCCACAUCUGUGUCCUCCAGUUCCAGGACAUGUGAGCUGCUUUCUGCAGUGGUGACAGCCAAAGAAAAGCAGCGUGGAACAGACUGAGGGGAGACAUUCACUGGAGAAGACAUUCACAUUCUUCAUGUGUGUAGUUCUCUACUCAGGGCAUAAACAGCAAAGCUACAGUUCCAUUAUAAAAUUGAAUCAAAAAUCAACAUUUACAAAGGAGUCAUUCCUCUGGCUUUAAUGGUCUUUGUGUUAGGAAGAAUCCUUAAAAAUUAUACAAUUCAUUUUUCCAGAACUGAUGACAGUCAGUCUGUCCAAUAGAUGAGAAAUGCAAAGUAUUCAGUUUUAUUUGUUUGCACAGUAUUCAGUCCCUAUCUUGAUGGGUACCACCGUAAUAAGAAAGAUUCAUAAUAAAGUCUCACUCAUGCCAGUUAUUUCACAAUAUCUCUGCUUUUUUAUACAAUUACACAGUAAGAGGAUACAUGUUGUAAAGUGCAGUUAUCUC
Long non-coding RNA from Cyanistes caeruleus (blue tit), 1903 nucleotides. RefSeq lists it as uncharacterized. Lineage: Eukaryota; Metazoa; Chordata; Aves; Passeriformes; Paridae. The record is from RefSeq and is a predicted model, not a curated record.